This 73-nucleotide transfer RNA is filed under the name Paramuricea clavata. It matches the Rfam family "tRNA". Rfam says of the family: Transfer RNA (tRNA) molecules are approximately 80 nucleotides in length. The record is from Rfam by way of RNAcentral. Lineage: Eukaryota; Metazoa; Cnidaria; Anthozoa; Malacalcyonacea; Plexauridae.
GACCACGUAGCUCAGUUGGCAGAGCAUUGGACUAGUAUCCCAAAGGUCGCGGGUUAGAUUCCCAUCGUGGUCA